GGUGUAAAGGGCGCGUAGGCGGGUUAGCAAGUCAGAGGUGAAAUCUCCCGGCUCAACCGGGAAACUGCCUUUGAAACUGUUAAUCUUGAGUGCGGAAGAGAGAGAUGGAAUUCCAGGUGUAGCGGUGAAAUGCGUAGAUNUCUGGAGGAACACCAGUUGCGAAGGCGAUCUCUUGGUCCGUUACUGACGCUCAGGCGCGAAAGCGUGGGUAGCAAACAGGAUUAGAUACCCUGGUAGUCCACGCUGUAAACGAUGAAUACUAGGUGUUGGGUCGAAAGGCUCAGUGCCGCAGCUAACGCAUUAAGUAUUCCACCUGGGGAGUACGAUCGCAAGGUUGAAACUCAAAGGAAUUGACGGGGGCCCGCACAAGCAGUGGAGCAUGUGGUUUAAUUCGAUGCAACGCGAAGAACCUUACCUAGGCUUGAAAGGCAAGUGACAGGGUAUGAAAGUACCCCUCCAGCAAUGGCACUUGUACAGGUGCUGCAUGGCUGUCGUCAGCUCGUGCCGUGAGGUGUUGGGUUAAGUCCCGCAACGAGCGCAUCCCUUGUCUCUUGUUACCACCAGUUAGGCUGGGUACUCGGAGAGACUGCCGAUGGAAAUCGAGGAAGGUGGGG
This 614-nucleotide ribosomal RNA is filed under the name uncultured Chlorobiota bacterium. RNAcentral describes it as "bacterial SSU rRNA". It matches the Rfam family "Bacterial small subunit ribosomal RNA", at positions 557 to 1178 of the family's 1533-position model. Lineage: Bacteria; Pseudomonadati; Chlorobiota. The record is from RNAcentral.